AUGGACCAAACUGCCAUCUUAACAUCUCCAUUUAAGUUUCUUCUUGACCUUCUCGUAAUUUUGUACAGUCAUCACUACACUGCUCACGAGAAUGACUCUUACCCUCAUCCAGUAUCUUUUGUCUUGGCUCCAAGGUUAAAUAUACUCAUCACAGACACAGGCACAGGCAUAGAUGACCUCACAGGGGCUGAAAAAGAAAUUAGAAACAGCAAGAUCGGUAAAAGCAACAACAACAACAACAACAAUGGAUCAUUGCUAAGUUGCCAAGAUUAA
This 273-nucleotide long non-coding RNA is filed under the name Ovis aries (sheep). RNAcentral's name for it is "lncRNA (ENSOARG00000025818.1)". Lineage: Eukaryota; Metazoa; Chordata; Mammalia; Artiodactyla; Bovidae. The record is from RNAcentral.